UACGUAGGGUGCGAGCGUUGUUCGGAAUUACUGGGCGUAAAGCGCACGUAGGCGGCUUUGUAAGUUAGAGGUGAAAGCCCGGGGCUCAACUCCGGAAUUGCCUUUAAGACUGCAUCGCUAGAAUUGUGGAGAGGUAAGUGGAAUUCCGAGUGUAGAGGUGAAAUUCGUAGAUAUUCGGAAGAACACCAGUGGCGAAGGCGACUUACUGGACACAUAUUGACGCUGAGGUGCGAAAGCGUGGGGAGCAAACAGG
Molecule: ribosomal RNA, 253 nt
Filed under: uncultured bacterium
Lineage: Bacteria
Description: partial 16S ribosomal RNA
Rfam family: Bacterial small subunit ribosomal RNA
Source: RNAcentral